UGCGUAGGCGGGCUAAUAAGUCAGUGGUGAAAUCUCUCGGCUCAACCGAGAAACUGCCAUUGAUACUGUUAGUCUUGAGUUCGGUUGAGGUAGGCGGAAUGUGUAAUGUAGCGGUGAAAUGCUUAGAUAUUACACAGAACACCAAUUGCGUAGGCAGCUUACUAGACCGACACUGACGCUGAGGCACGAAAGCGUGGGGAGCGAACAGGAUUAGAUACCCUGGUAGUCC
RNAcentral lists this ribosomal RNA (229 nucleotides) under uncultured bacterium. Its description in RNAcentral is "partial 16S ribosomal RNA". It matches the Rfam family "Bacterial small subunit ribosomal RNA", at positions 568 to 796 of the family's 1533-position model. The record is from RNAcentral.